RNAcentral lists this ribosomal RNA (460 nucleotides) under uncultured bacterium. RNAcentral's name for it is "partial 16S ribosomal RNA". It matches the Rfam family "Bacterial small subunit ribosomal RNA", at positions 338 to 795 of the family's 1533-position model. The record is from RNAcentral.
CCUACGGGAGGCAGCAGUGAGGAAUAUUGGUCAAUGGGCGCGAGCCUGAACCAGCCAAGUAGCGUGAAGGAUGACUGCCCUACGGGUUGUAAACUUCGUUUAUAAAGGAAUAAAGUGAGGCACGUGUGCCUUUUUGUAUGUACUUUAUGAAUAAGGAUCGGCUAGCUACGUUCCAGCAGCCGCGGUAAUACGGAGGAUCCGAGCGUUAUCCGGAUUUAUUGGGUUUAAAGGGAGCGUAGAUGGGUUGUUAAGUCAGUUGUGAAAGUUUGCGGCUCAACCGUAAAAUUGCAAUUGAUACUGGCAGCCUUGAGUGCAGUUGAGGUAGGCGGAAUUCGUGGUGUAGCGGUGAAAUGCUUAGAUAUCACGAAGAACUCCGAUUGCGAAGGCAGCUUACUAAACUGCCACUGACAUUGAUGCGCGAAAGUGUGGGUAUCAAACAGGAUUAGAUACCCUAGUAGUC